CUGUGAGCUGUAUCUCUGGUACUUGCUAUGUACCUUUAGUGUUAAGGUGUGUCGCUGGGCAUUUUGCAUCUUAGUAGCUACUAGAUCUUGUGCCGGAGAUCCUACUGGAGAGAUCCGAUUGGGAUCUUUGGUGUUCUUUGGGGCUGUGAAGACCCUGGGUGGUGAGGAGUGGGCCCUAUGGCAUGUAGGGGUUUUGAGUAGCCGCCCUGUUAAUAAUGUGUUGC
Molecule: non-coding RNA, 224 nt
Organism: Pelobates cultripes (western spadefoot toad)
Lineage: Eukaryota; Metazoa; Chordata; Amphibia; Anura; Pelobatidae
Source: the annotation of a GenBank genome assembly